Molecule: non-coding RNA, 82 nt
Filed under: uncultured Romboutsia sp.
Lineage: Bacteria; Bacillati; Bacillota; Clostridia; Peptostreptococcales; Peptostreptococcaceae
Source: RNAcentral
AUAUCAGGGGAGCUAAUUGCUGAGAGGAGAUUAUAAUCUCGACCCUUUAACCUGUUUGGAUAAUGCCAGCGUAGGGAGACAA